GGGGGCGUAGCUCAGCUGGUUAGAGCGCUGCCCUGUCACGGCAGAGGUCGCGGGUUCGAGUCCCGUCGCUCCCG
RNAcentral lists this transfer RNA (74 nucleotides) under Actinomycetes bacterium. RNAcentral describes it as "Actinobacteria bacterium tRNA-Asp". It matches the Rfam family "tRNA". From Rfam's summary of the family: Transfer RNA (tRNA) molecules are approximately 80 nucleotides in length. Their secondary structure includes four short double-helical elements and three loops (D, anti-codon, and T loops). The record is from RNAcentral. Lineage: Bacteria; Bacillati; Actinomycetota; Actinomycetes. RNAcentral also lists the same sequence under 3 other names.